AGGGGGUGCCUGUCUCCUGUGUUGGAAGCGCAGCCCUCACGAUGGCAAAGAUGAUGUGGAACGGCAGCUUUGCUUACUUGUCUACAGUGUGUGAAUAAUCGUCCAUUCUUCUCUAAUGCAUUUUGGGACUCGAACACGUGAUCGUUAGCAGUAUUUAUUAUGAAGGGUUUUCACAGUCAUUCAGUGUUCUGUCCGUGCACACAGUCUAUUUGGAUCACAGAUGGCUUCCCUGCCAACCCGGCCUGAUGCGUGGACACCUCCCACCUGUCUCCUCAGGCAGGUGUACUUGAUGGUUUGUUCUGUCUCCAGUGGCUUCCCCUCUCCUCACCCCCACCCCACCCCUCCUCAGCCCCGGCCAGUGCACACCUCCCCAGCUUCCCUCUCGGAACUCGGAAGUCACACCCGCCCUUACCUGUGUGGUGACCAGAGUCCUGUGUGCCAUGGAGCCCCAGACAGAGGGUGUGAGAUGUGCUGAACUUACUUGGGAUGAAUUGUGUUGAAAACCGGAGUGUUUAUGGUGUGGCCUGAGGAAACACGUUAAAAAUGGCAACAGCAAGAGAAUGAGAGUUUUCACAAAGGCAGCAGCUAGUCACCCCAAGAGGCUCAUAGGAAACCAGAUGAUUCCCCUUGCAUUGCUGAAAGAAUGUUCUUUUUAUCUAGUAAAUAAUGUGGGUCCCUGUAGGUUGAGGCUGUAGUUACAUAUAAGAUCAGUGUCUAACUAGCUCAAUGCAGUGAUGCUGUCCGGAAACUUGA
Long non-coding RNA from Suricata suricatta (meerkat), 753 nucleotides. RefSeq lists it as uncharacterized. Lineage: Eukaryota; Metazoa; Chordata; Mammalia; Carnivora; Herpestidae. The record is from RefSeq and is a predicted model, not a curated record. The transcript is spliced from 4 exons.